RNAcentral lists this ribosomal RNA (396 nucleotides) under uncultured marine phototrophic eukaryote. RNAcentral describes it as "bacterial SSU rRNA". It matches the Rfam family "Bacterial small subunit ribosomal RNA", at positions 385 to 795 of the family's 1533-position model. The record is from RNAcentral.
GACGGAGCAAUACCGCGUGAGGGAUGACGGCCUAUGGGUUGUAAACCUCUUUUUUCAGGGAGGAAUCAAUGACGUGUACCUGAAGAAUAAGCAUCGGCUAACUCCGUGCCAGCAGCCGCGGUAAGACGGAGGAUGCAAGUGUUAUCCGGAAUCACUGGGCGUAAAGCGUCUGUAGGUGGUUUAAUAAGUCAACUGUUAAAUCUUGAGGCUCAACUUCAAAAUCGCAGUCGAAACUAUUAGACUAGAGUAUAGUAGAGGUAAAGGGAAUUUCCAGUGGAGCGGUGAAAUGCGUAGAUAUUGGAAAGAACACCGAUGGCGAAAGCACUUUACUGGGCUAUUACUAACACUCAGAGACGAAAGCUAGGGUAGCAAAUGGGAUUAGAUACCCCAGUAGUC